This 166-nucleotide ribosomal RNA is filed under the name Croton argentinus. RNAcentral describes it as "5.8S ribosomal RNA". It matches the Rfam family "5.8S ribosomal RNA". Rfam says of the family: 5.8S ribosomal RNA (5.8S rRNA) is a component of the large subunit of the eukaryotic ribosome. It is transcribed by RNA polymerase I as part of the 45S precursor that also contains 18S and 28S rRNA. The record is from RNAcentral. Lineage: Eukaryota; Viridiplantae; Streptophyta; Magnoliopsida; Malpighiales; Euphorbiaceae.
ACGACUCUCGGCAACGGAUAUCUCGGCUCUCGCAUCGAUGAAGAACGCAGCGAAAUGCGAUACUUGGUGUGAAUUGCAGAAUCCCGUGAACCAUCGAGUUUUUGAACGCAAGUUGCGCCCAAAGCCUUCUGGCCGAGGGCACGUCUGCCUGGGUGUCACGCAACAU